This 468-nucleotide ribosomal RNA is filed under the name uncultured bacterium. RNAcentral's name for it is "partial 16S ribosomal RNA". It matches the Rfam family "Bacterial small subunit ribosomal RNA", at positions 28 to 507 of the family's 1533-position model. The record is from RNAcentral.
GACGAACGCUGGCGGCGUGCUUAACACAUGCAAGUCGAACGGAAAGGCGCUGCUUUUGUGGGGUGCUCGAGUGGCGAACGGGGGAGUAACACGUGAGUAACCUGCACUUGACUUUGGGAUAACUUCAGGAAACAGGGGCUAAUACCGGAUAGGAUCUCCUGCUGCAUGGUGGGGGUUGGAAAGUUUCGGCGGUUGGGGAUGGAAUCGCGGCUUAUCAGCUUGUUGGGGGAGUAGUGGCUUACCAAGGCUUUGACGGGUAGCCGGCCUGAGAGGGUGACCGGCCACAUUGGGACUGAGAUACGGCCCAGACUCCUACGCGAGGCAGCAGUCGAGAAUAUUGCAGAAUGGGCGGAAGCCUGAUGCAGCGACGCCGCGUGCGGAAUGACGGCCUUCGGGUUGUAAACCGAUUUCGCCUGUGACGAAGCGUGAGUGACGGUAAUGGGUAAAGAAGCACCGGCUAACUACGUG